Molecule: ribosomal RNA, 910 nt
Filed under: Bacillus altitudinis
Lineage: Bacteria; Bacillati; Bacillota; Bacilli; Caryophanales; Bacillaceae
Description: bacterial SSU rRNA
Rfam family: Bacterial small subunit ribosomal RNA
Source: RNAcentral
CUAUACAUGCAAGUCGAGCGGACAGAAGGGAGCUUGCUCCCGGAUGUUAGCGGCGGACGGGUGAGUAACACGUGGGUAACCUGCCUGUAAGACUGGGAUAACUCCGGGAAACCGGAGCUAAUACCGGAUAGUUCCUUGAACCGCAUGGUUCAAGGAUGAAAGACGGUUUCGGCUGUCACUUACAGAUGGACCCGCGGCGCAUUAGCUAGUUGGUGAGGUAACGGCUCACCAAGGCGACGAUGCGUAGCCGACCUGAGAGGGUGAUCGGCCACACUGGGACUGAGACACGGCCCAGACUCCUACGGGAGGCAGCAGUAGGGAAUCUUCCGCAAUGGACGAAAGUCUGACGGAGCAACGCCGCGUGAGUGAUGAAGGUUUUCGGAUCGUAAAGCUCUGUUGUUAGGGAAGAACAAGUGCAAGAGUAACUGCUUGCACCUUGACGGUACCUAACCAGAAAGCCACGGCUAACUACGUGCCAGCAGCCGCGGUAAUACGUAGGUGGCAAGCGUUGUCCGGAAUUAUUGGGCGUAAAGGGCUCGCAGGCGGUUUCUUAAGUCUGAUGUGAAAGCCCCCGGCUCAACCGGGGAGGGUCAUUGGAAACUGGGAAACUUGAGUGCAGAAGAGGAGAGUGGAAUUCCACGUGUAGCGGUGAAAUGCGUAGAGAUGUGGAGGAACACCAGUGGCGAAGGCGACUCUCUGGUCUGUAACUGACGCUGAGGAGCGAAAGCGUGGGGAGCGAACAGGAUUAGAUACCCUGGUAGUCCACGCCGUAAACGAUGAGUGCUAAGUGUUAGGGGGUUUCCGCCCCUUAGUGCUGCAGCUAACGCAUUAAGCACUCCGCCUGGGGAGUACGGUCGCAAGACUGAAACUCAAAGGAAUUGACGGGGGCCCGCACAAGCGGUGGAGCAUG